RNAcentral lists this Y RNA (93 nucleotides) under Microcebus murinus (gray mouse lemur). Its description in RNAcentral is "Y RNA (ENSMICG00000042104.1)". It matches the Rfam family "Y RNA". Rfam says of the family: Y RNAs are components of the Ro ribonucleoprotein particle (Ro RNP), in association with Ro60 and La proteins. The Y RNAs and Ro60 and La proteins are well conserved, but the function of the Ro RNP is not known. In humans the RNA component can be one of four small RNAs -- hY1, hY3, hY4 and hY5. Lineage: Eukaryota; Metazoa; Chordata; Mammalia; Primates; Cheirogaleidae. The record is from RNAcentral.
GGCUAGUCCAAUGGUAGUGGGUUAUCAGAACUUAUUAACAUUAGUGUCACUAAAGUUGGUAUUCAACUUCCCACUACUAAAUUUGGCUAAAAA